RNAcentral lists this ribosomal RNA (458 nucleotides) under uncultured bacterium. RNAcentral's name for it is "partial 16S ribosomal RNA". It matches the Rfam family "Bacterial small subunit ribosomal RNA", at positions 29 to 507 of the family's 1533-position model. The record is from RNAcentral.
AACGAACGCUGGCGGCAUGCCUAACACAUGCAAGUCGAACGAGACCUUCGGGUCUAGUGGCGCACGGGUGUGUAACGCGUGGGAACCUGCCCUUAGGUUCGGAAUAACUCUCCGAAAGGGGUGCUAAUACCGGAUAAUGUCUUCGGACCAAAGAUUUAUCGCCUUUGGAUGGGCCCGCGUUGGAUUAGCUAGUUGGUAGGGUAAAAGCCUAACAAGGCGACGAUACGUAGCUGGUCUGAGAGGAUGCUCAGCCACACUGGGACGGAGACACGGUCCAGACCCCUGGGGGAGGCAGCAGGCCGGAAUCUUCCGGAAUGGGCGCAAGGGUGACUUAGCAACACCGGGUGAGUGAUGAAGGCCUCCGGGCCGUAAAGCUCUUUUGUUGGUAAAGAAUAGAAGGCUUUUUAACCCGGGAUGUUAUGACGGUACCCGAAGAAAAAGCCACGGCUAACUUCGUG